GUAAGGUUUACCUUCAUGUUAAAACAAUGCAAUUUUGCCAGGAAGGAUCUUGGACACUGCUGUUUUGGUUGAAGAGCACUACGGCCAUGGCUGAAUGCAACGUAGAUGGCAAUUUAAUCGCACUUAUAUUACGCUCUUUGGAUAUUUCAUCAUCUAAUGAGUCACUGGAACUGAGAACAUCUCCAUUUUGGCAGUCUUUCUUUCUCCAUCCUUUCCACUUUUUUUUCUAUCGUUUCUCGUCAUCCUGUAUUUGAUUAUGGGGUGAUAUGUGUUCUGAAUGUAGUUCCUGUCCUAUGUGCUAUGUCCUUUGGCAGUGAAAAUAAGCAUCUUGAAGUCUUUAGAAUAUGCACAAGGUUAUGUGCCAGAAAAAAAAAAAACGAAAGUGGUGAAUUAAUUUUUUUGACUGUGACUCCUAAUUGCAACACCCUUACAAUUCCUGGAACUUGAGAAACCACACUUUGCAUUUAUGGAGAAAACUGUGGGAAAAUGGGUUGGGUGAAAUUCUGUUUUAUUUAUGCCUUUAUCUGUUUGUUGUUAACCCACAAAGUGAUCUAAUCCAAAUGGACACUUUUUAGGCAUGACCCAGAUGUCCAUAAAUAAAUAGAUAUAGAUUA
Protopterus annectens (West African lungfish) is the source of this 614-nucleotide long non-coding RNA. RefSeq lists it as uncharacterized. The transcript is spliced from 3 exons. NCBI's taxonomy places the organism in Eukaryota, Metazoa, Chordata, Ceratodontiformes, Protopteridae. The record is from RefSeq and is a predicted model, not a curated record.